AGCGAACAGAGAAGGAGCUUGCUCCUUCGACGUUAGCGGCGGACGGGUGAGUAACACGUGGGCAACCUACCUUAUAGUUUGGGAUAACUCCGGGAAACCGGGGCUAAUACCGAAUAAUCUGUUUCACCUCAUGGUGAAACAUUGAAAGACGGUUUCGGCUGUCGCUAUAGGAUGGGCCCGCGGCGCAUUAGCUAGUUGGUGAGGUAACGGCUCACCAAGGCGACGAUGCGUAGCCGACCUGAGAGGGUGAUCGGCCACACUGGGACUGAGACACGGCCCAGACUCCUACGGGAGGCAGCAGUAGGGAAUCUUCCACAAUGGGCGAAAGCCUGAUGGAGCAACGCCGCGUGAGUGAAGAAGGAUUUCGGUUCGUAAAACUCUGUUGUAAGGGAAGAACAAGUACAGUAGUAACUGGCUGUACCUUGACGGUACCUUAUUAGAAAGCCACGGCUAACUACGUGCCAGCAGCCGCGGUAAUACGUAGGUGGCAAGCGUUGUCCGGAAUUAUUGGGCGUAAAGCGCGCGCAGGUGGUUUCUU
RNAcentral lists this ribosomal RNA (538 nucleotides) under uncultured bacterium. RNAcentral's name for it is "bacterial SSU rRNA". It matches the Rfam family "Bacterial small subunit ribosomal RNA", at positions 65 to 584 of the family's 1533-position model. The record is from RNAcentral.